Molecule: ribosomal RNA, 360 nt
Filed under: Streptococcus suis
Lineage: Bacteria; Bacillati; Bacillota; Bacilli; Lactobacillales; Streptococcaceae
Description: bacterial SSU rRNA
Rfam family: Bacterial small subunit ribosomal RNA
Source: RNAcentral
UUUAUGAGAGUUUGAUCCUGGCUCAGGACGAACGCUGGCGGCGUGCCUAAUACAUGCAAGUAGAACGCUGAAGUCUGGUGCUUGCACUAGACGGAUGAGUUGCGAACGGGUGAGUAACGCGUAGGUAACCUGCCUCAUAGCGGGGGAUAACUAUUGGAAACGAUAGCUAAUACCGCAUAACAGUAUUAACCGCAUGGUAGAUACUUGAAAGGAGCAAUUGCUUCACUAUGAGAUGGACCUGCGUUGUAUUAGCUAGUUGGUGAGGUAACGGCUCACCAAGGCUUCGAUACAUAGCCGACCUGAGAGGGUGAUCGGCCACACUGGGACUGAGACACGGCCCAGACUCCUACGGGAGGCAGC